This 268-nucleotide long non-coding RNA is filed under the name Theobroma cacao (cacao). RNAcentral describes it as "long non-coding RNA (TCAC_LNC002445)". The record is from RNAcentral. Lineage: Eukaryota; Viridiplantae; Streptophyta; Magnoliopsida; Malvales; Malvaceae.
AGGUUGAAGUUUCACAAGCUCACUUAUGAAUUACCCUUUUAACUCAGUAAUCAACCUCAAUGGGCAUCCGAUAAGCUUUGUUAGCCACCAUCUCAAAGUACGGGGUACUACAAUACUACUUGUCACAACACGGUACUCUCCUCGAGCCCGUGACAACCGCCGCGAUGUCGCGAUAGACAUUCAUCGCCCGAAAUGCCGACCGAAACCUCGCAAGGCUUUUAUAUCAGUUUUUCUCACCUCCCCUGUGAGCGACAGUUGUUAAAUAUCA